Molecule: non-coding RNA, 1861 nt
Organism: Oryctolagus cuniculus (rabbit)
Lineage: Eukaryota; Metazoa; Chordata; Mammalia; Lagomorpha; Leporidae
Source: RefSeq, a predicted model, not a curated record
CUGUCUUCCAGCUUUCGGGAGUACAAAAUUCCUGUAGGGAUAAAAAGGUGUACUAGACAAAUCUCUCUUUCCCUUGCCCCAACCAACCAUCGCGUGUGUUCUGCAGCCAGUGGACCUAAAUCCUAGUCUUCACCAUCUAGAAGAUCCGUUGAAAGACUGAAUACCUGUAAUUCCUGCCAUGAACUUCUCCUUACGAGGGAAAAAAAUAAUUUGAAAGAAUGAAACUACUGCAAAGAAUUAUAGACAGCAAGAGACAGAGACAGAGAGAAAGGUCUUCCCUCUGUUGGUUCACUCCCCAAAUGGCUGCCACAGCUGGUGUUGCACUGAUCUGAAGCCAGGAGCCAGGUGCUUCCUCCUGGUCUCCCAUGCGGGUACAGGGGCCCAAGCACUUGGGUCAUCCUCCACUGCACUCCCAGGCCACAGCAGAGAGCUGGACUGGAAGAGGAGCAACCGGGACCAGAACCUGGCGCCCACAUGGGAUGCUGUCGCCGUAGGCGGAGGAUUAACCAACAUGUAAAGGGGACUUUGGAGUUACUGCGUGCACAAGUGCAGCAUGAGGAAGUCCAUCGAGGAACAGCUGUGAGCACACACGACGUGGGGACCACACAGAAGGAGCUCCCUGAUGUCAGGAUCAUCUUAAUCAGUGACAGCCUUAUCACUUCUCGGAGAAGGAGAACAUGGCCUUUCUAGGCUGAAGACAGAUCACCUUUCAGUGAAACUCUCGAUCUGGGUGAUGCCUGUAAGUGUCAAUAUUUAUAGAAAAACUGUUCAUGUCCCUGGAAUGAGGAACUCAGAGACGGAGUCAAAAGGAAUGGAAACUCAGAGAUAAGAAGAGUGGACCCGGGUGUCCUGUCCAGCUUGGGGCUCCACUGUGUGGUCCUCACUCGGGGAGGGGCAGGGAGGAGAACGCAGAACACACAUGGGGAGUGGCUGCACUCUCUGUGGUCUUUGAAGAGGGGAGACCUUGGUUUGAUGCCUCCCCUGUGGUUGUUGGAGCAGGACUUCUGCAAAGGCGUAUUUCUGUGUGCAAACGACUGAUACCCUCGUCUAAGUUCGGUGGAAUGCAGCUGGACUCAUUGGUCUUAAAUCAGCUGCUGGCACUGAGCAAGAAAUAGACUCUCCUGUUUAAAAUACUCCACUUACCUAUUGAUACACGAAGAGCUACCCAAAACUUACUGGCUUUCAAACAACAAUCUUUUCCUUUGUUCACAGUCCUGGGAGUCAGAAUGCAGGAUCGGGGCCGGAGGGCUUGUUCCUGUCUUAUGUUCCUGUCUUAUGGGGCUGCAGGGAUCGGCUUGAGUGGCUGGCAGCCAGCUGGGAUGGCCUUAUCUGAGCCGGACUUCUGAAGUCUUGGUUGCGGCUGUUGCCUGGGCUGCUCAGUUUCCUCUUGUAUGGCCACUCUUGUGAGGCCAGCUUAGACUCCCUCACAAUAUGGUGGUCUCGGGAAGACAAUAAACCCCAGUGUACAUGUGUUUAUGAAGCUUUUGCUUGUGUCCUGAUGACUGAAGAUGCAUUGGUCAAAUUAAGUCACAUGGCCACACUCAGAGAAAAUGUGGGAGGGACUACGGACAGACAUGAGUCCCCGUGAUGCAGGCACACUGGGGUAUCUGUGGUGGACUCAGAAAGUCAUGCAACAUUUAGUGUUCAUUUUCACUUGUACAAGAUUACAUAGAUAUGUGUGUAAUUGUGGAACAAUAUUGCUUAAUGAUCAUAAAUGGUAUUUGUAAUUGGUGUUCUUUUCUCAAAGAAAUGGUAUGCCAUGUUAUUUCAUGCCAAGUAAACUUUUAAAAGUUUCUAAGCUAAGUAUAGUUUGCAUCAAAUAAUUUAAGUUCAUCUGUUAAGAAAAUAAACUUGGUCUUUA